This 433-nucleotide ribosomal RNA is filed under the name uncultured bacterium. RNAcentral's name for it is "partial 16S ribosomal RNA". It matches the Rfam family "Bacterial small subunit ribosomal RNA", at positions 29 to 507 of the family's 1533-position model. The record is from RNAcentral.
AACGAACGCUGGCGGCAUGCCUAACACAUGCAAGUCGAACGAGACCUUCGGGUCUAGUGGCGCACGGGUGCGUAACGCGUGGGAACCUGCCCUUAGGUUCGGAAUAACUCCCCGAAAGGGGUGCUAAUACCGGAUAAUGUCUUCGGACCAAAGAUUUAUCGCCUUUGGAUGGGCCCGCGUUGGAUUAGCUAGUUGGUAGGGUAAAAGCCUACCAAGGCGACGAUCCAUAGCUGGUCUGAGAGGAUGAUCAGCCACACUGGGACUGAGACACGGCCCAGACUCCUACGGGAGGCAGCAGUGGGGAAUAUUGGACAAUGGGCGAAAGCAUGAUCCAGCAAUGACGCGUGAGUGAUGAAGGCCUUAGGGUUGUAAAGCUCUUUUACCCGGGAUGAUAAUGACAGUACCGGGAGAAUAAGCGCCGGCUAACUCCGUG